RNAcentral lists this transfer RNA (68 nucleotides) under Callulina kreffti (Krefft's secret frog). RNAcentral describes it as "tRNA-Arg". The record is from RNAcentral. Lineage: Eukaryota; Metazoa; Chordata; Amphibia; Anura; Brevicipitidae.
AAAAAGCUAGUCCAAUUAAGACAAUUAAUUUCGACUUAAUAAAUUAUGGCUAAAUCCAUAGCUUUUUC